UUUCCGUAGGUGAACCUGCGGAAGGAUCAUUAUUGAAACUUGAAUCGUAGCAUUGAGAACUGUUGCUGACCUGUUAAAGGGUAUGUGCACGUUCGACGUGUUGCGUUCUAUUCAUCCACCUGUGCACCUUUGUAGACUUGAUUAACUUUCGCUCUCGAGCGGUUAGAAGGGUUGCUUUCGAGCUCCCUUUGUCUAUCAAGUCUAUGUCUAUAUAAUCUCUUGUAUGUCUAGAAUGUCUUGUUUACGGGACGCAAGUCCUUUAAAUCUUAUACAACUUUCAACAACGGAUCUCUUGGCUCUC
This 301-nucleotide unclassified non-coding RNA is filed under the name plant metagenome. Its description in RNAcentral is "partial contains small subunit ribosomal RNA, internal transcribed spacer 1, and 5.8S ribosomal RNA". The record is from RNAcentral.